RNAcentral lists this long non-coding RNA (379 nucleotides) under Ananas comosus (pineapple). RNAcentral's name for it is "long non-coding RNA (ACOM_LNC044839)". The record is from RNAcentral. Lineage: Eukaryota; Viridiplantae; Streptophyta; Magnoliopsida; Poales; Bromeliaceae.
UCUAGGGUAUUUGAAGUUUCUAGAAAAUAAUUUUUGCGAUUUUUUGAUAUCAUUUACCUAAUGAUCGAAAGGAUUUAAAAUCAAUAUUUUUUAAUGGUUGAUGUCUACCGUUUUCAAAUUUAACGGUGUAGAAGUAUUCAAAUCAGAUGAAAUUUUGAUAUAAAAUUUUUUAUACUAUCUACAACAAGAUCAAUAUUUCUGAUCGAAAAUUUUAGUGCUAUAUCACCACUUUUUAUAGAAUUUUUAUUUUCAGCCAUUAACAAUUAUUGAUUUUGAAUCCUUUCAAUUGCUAGGUAAAUGAUAUCGAAAAAUCGUAAAAAUUAUUUUCUAGAAACUUCAAAUACGCUAGAUCAAGUCUAACAGAGCCGAUCAUCGAUUC